GCCUGAUACAGUACGUGUAAGGAAGCCUUCCUCAUCCGAAUUAGCAGUGCCAAUUUGUUGUGUCGCAGUCUCCCCCUACUUUUGAAGGGACUUGCUGAAAAGGAAAUCCCACAAUCUUGUCACAAAUAUAAAGAUAAGUAACAUUCCUACUGAUUCGUGAUCAAAGAGCUCAGUUGUAUUCCCACAUUCUUAUUUCUCCUUUCAAUGCAUUCCAAGCUCUUUUCUUUUUUUUUCAGUCUGGAAGUGUUGUAUACUUUUCAUGAGACCUUUCUGACCAGUUCCCACUAAAUCAGGAGGGUGAAGUGAAUGUGUCUGGCUGUCACAACCUUCUCCUAGCGGACCAUUUGCAAAUCCCUGCAUUUUUCCUAUGAAACUUCUAAUUGUGUUAGAACUGCAGCACCAAAGUUACCUGAUUUCUGUGCUGAGUUUUCAUGCUGCCACAGUUGCCUGUCUGACAGAGAAGAGAUUAUAGCAAACCAAAGAUGGGCUCAGGCUGCAGACCCUGAUCCAGAACCACGAUCUCUCAGCCUCUGUAAGCCCGAGCCAGGUUUCCAUCCCCUUGCUGAUGCCACUGGUACAUGUGUUUGGUACAUGCUCCUGUAUGGAGUGCUACCCGCUUCUUGUGUGCUCUCCCAUUCCCUGGUCAAGGUGCUCUAGGACGCUUUAUAUACACCCUGCAAAUACCACUGCCAGUUGCAGAGGUGUAGUUGACCCCAGAGUGAGGCUACCAGCCUUUAGGAGGGGGAGAAGCAAGACUGUCUAAAAUCCAUGAGUCGUGCCUUUCAUUAGGCUGUAGGCUGUAAACACCAUGAUGUUUCAUACCUGACGCAGACAGGGCUCUUUACCUUAAGCAAGUCUAAGCCUGCAUUAGGAAUACAGUUGAGUAGAAGAGGAUGUGGCUGCACAUAAAUAAGAUGACCUUCAGAUCCUUGUUAGGUUUUACCAAAAACUAUGUCUGAUGAGGCUGCGCUCUGAGAAAAGGCAAGUGAAAGACAGAACCAAAGAUGACACGGUUCCCUCCACCCCUCAUUUAAACCAAGUCUUCAAAUAGCGCAUCUGUUUUUCCUUUUUCACUCUUGUAAGCAGCAAAAGUGUUUUGGAUUUUUAAACAAAAAACAAUUCAGACAUUUUUAGGUGAGGAUCUGUGUGGUACAGUAUGAAGGUCAGCCUUGGCUGACUGAGGUGAUUCCCUCCUGGCCUUAAAAAGUGAGAGAAGUUGUGUGUUCCUAGUGAUCCCUGAUGGUGGUGAUGAAUAAAGUUAAUAGAAUUUUUAAUAAAAGAUACAACCACUGGAACCGAAUCCACCACUAUGUUAAAACGUGAAAUAGAUACUUACCUUAUAAAGCUAGAAAGUGUUUGGUUGGUAGCCGUGGCAACUUACAGGUGUUAAAUUAGCCACAAUGGGGCUGCCUGGUUCCCUGAUGCAACAGAAAUAUUUUGAAACUUACAAUGAAAAAAAAUUAAUAAAGCCAUGCAAUAUAAAGAGUAUAAAGUUCAAACAAGAAUGGAGAGUGCAAAGUUAGAUCUGUAGUGCUAUGAAAUUUCAUAAAAUGGGAUUUUACACUGCGUAAUACAACCUGCUGCUUCAACUGAAAUAAGGGACUUGGUUUGAUAUUUUCAUUAAAUGCAAAGUAUUUGUGGAUACUGGUGGCAAUUAGGUGUUGCAAAUGCAGUCAUCAGUUUGAAACUGUGCAUAUAAAAAGGUAUUUUAAUAAAAAAAUACAGUCACCUUGGUACCUGCAUCUAGCCUUAUUGUAUUGUAUGGCAGACACUCUACCCAUUAGACUGCAGUCACAGGUUAACAAGAAGGGAAAUUUCAAGGCACAGAAUUAGCUACAGGAAAGCUCUCCUAUUACUGAAUGAAUGCAAUAAAGACACAGCAAAAUUUACAAGGAAAAAUUUAAUAAAAUAUUGACUAUAAAGGCUACAACAUUCUAUGUCUGCUCCAUAGCUUAUAUCCAAAUCCAUGCGUGUUCAAAACUCCAUGCAAAUUGGACUUAAUUUACUUUUGCUUUUUCCUUCUUCAGGAAUAUAAAGUGAGCUCAAUAAUUUUCCUUUAUUUUAUCUAUAAAUGGUUUCCUAAAUGGGAGCUUAUUAAAAAGGAGGCAGGGUUAGGCUGUCCAGGAUGUUAGAGUGAUUACAUCUUGGCAGCACCAGAAGAGGCUGAGUCCAAGGGCCUGACUGUUUGUUAGCGUGUAGCCAAUACUCUGGAUUCCUAAUCAGCUUAAGAAAUAUAUGGAUAGUGACAAGUGGAUUCUUUCCCAGCUUUAUUUUUGUCACUGCUGACAACUGACAGUUCUGGGUACGUUAUUUAUCUUUGGCUGUGUAGAUGGCAAUUGGAAUUGCCAUACCCACCUCUACCAGGGAUCCCCAAGUUUCUCUGUUAUAGGUCCAUAUUAAAAAAAGUUGCUUUCACUGCAAGUGUUUCUAUUGUGAAAUGAGAGAGGAAAAAAGACAGAGUUUCUAAGGUAAGCUGUGCCUUUUCUCCUUUUUUUUCAGGAAGAGGUCAGAAGAGGUAGGGGACAAAAAUGGCUGCUCUCUAGACAGCUUUUAAGAAGGUCUCAAUUCUUUAGAAACUUAAAUCCAUCCUAAAGGUCACACCUUGACUUGGUCCCAUUGACUUAAACAAGACUACCUACCAAAGAGGCUCUUAUGGAGGAGGGUGGUCUCAUGGUUACAGCGUGGGACAAGAAGACAGAAGAGCUUGCUUCAUUCCCAACCCUCACCCCAAUUUUUCUGCAGGACUUCAAACAAGUCAUCAAAGCUGGGAGAACUGGACAGACAGCGAGUUGGCCAGAGUACAGUAUGCACAAAAUCUGCGAGGUGCUUUUAUAAAUCUCCAAAUGAGAUUGAUUACUUCUGCUGAGAGAUUUCAUUGUUGGUGUACAUUUUCCAUGGGAAUGAUGAAAGCCAGCUAGAAUUACUGCUGAGUGAACUAGAGCAAUCCAGGAUUAUGAUGAAUGGGAGUAGUGAAUGAUCACUGACUCAUAAUAAACAGAAGCACACGAUCAAGAGUGUGUCUAACUCCUCUCUUCUGGAAAUGAUGUGUCUUGAAAUGCUUGAUCUGACAAUCGCUCUGGUCUCUCAAGAAAGAUGCAUCACAUGGGUGAAAUGCUGUUGAUUUCUACAAACAAGAAAGGCAAGUACAUUUUAAUGAGCUCAGUUCACUCCUGGGUCACACCGGGAAUGGAAGGACAGGACCUCCAUCACUGGAAAGACCACCCAGAGAGAAGGAAGCCGCUCUUGCCCAGGAAGGCAAGAAGAUCCCAAUGGUUUUCCUCCAAAGCCCAAGCCAUCAGUACCAGCAGCCUCACUAGCAGAAGCUCAGGGGCCUGGCCAUGCAGAAGGGGCCUGUUUCUUUUCAGUGUGAGUACACCUCAUUUCCUUUGUGCUGGCAAGGCUGUCUGUGAACGAGAAAAUACAAAUGUAAGGAGCUGCUUGUGAUUUUUGUUAUGGUGGCCUUUUCUUUUGUUGGGUGUUUUUGUUACCAUGAUUUUACGUUGUUCUGCUGUUUCUAUAUCUGAAAGAGAAGUAAAAUAUGAUAUAGUACAGCAAUAGCAGCUACUAUACACAGAGGAGGACCUCACUAUGGGUUUGCACAGCUGUACCCACCUGGGAUUGAGUAAACACUCAAGAAUUCCACUGACAAUGCACAGGAGGAAUGGGAAUUCAGGACAAAAUUCAGGGAAUUUUGUUCUCAGAGCCGUUUUGGCUCCACAAAGAUGACAAACAUAAAAGUGAUAUGCCUGUGGGGACACCUGUGCCUGCAUAACUGACUGGAAGAAGAUAAACAAGCCUAAACAUGUACAAGAAAGAAGAGCAGCUGGUUGCUUCUACUGAAGCUGCAUUGUUUUGCAAGGAUACCAUUCAGAGUAGCAUCCAGAGUAUUCCAAGUGAAGACGUUCACUUGGCAACUUCACUCAAGAGGAAGUUGCAUUUUGCAUAGUAAUCUCAUUAACCUACACUUUCUCACGAACGUGCAUGAUUCAUAUUGUCUGUAAGGACAGAAAUUAAGCUGUCAGAAAAAAAAAAAAAAGUCAAUUCUCUGGAAUCAAUGGACUCAGUUUAAGAAUUUUGUGAGACUGGACAGAGGUUUCCAAUACUAAAAAUAUAAUUUUGACAAAUGCAUUUGCGAUGUUAGCUCUAGCAUAUGAGAUCCUAUGGAAUUAUCUUGGGUUUUGCUGUCAUAAAAAUAAAAGCUGGGAAUUUAUUUCUAAUUACACUAUGAAAAUGUUUUCCAUGAAGAUAUAAAAACAAGUAUCUUAGGGUUAAUAUGUAAAUGUCCAAUGCCAAAAGACUUGUUGUCACUGCAGGGCUAAUCUAAACUAAACUUCAGGUGUUGCCCAUAGCUGCACUGGGUCUCUGUGCCUGAAAAGUUGUCUGCUUUUUCCAGCUGUAUCAGUUGAUCUGAUGAAAGAUAUUGCUUCUCAUUAGAGCUUAUCUUGCUGUUUUUGUAGAUAUCACAGCUCAGUAAAUCUUACUGAGUGUUUCGUCCUGACCUUUCUGUAGAGGUAAAAGUGUCUUGGAUUCAAACCUAGAUUCCCAAAUACUUUUCUUGCAGAUAAAGUACUAUAUGUAGUUUUCCACAUUGUGCCUGGCCAGGACAGGAUUAGUGCAGCAUUAAUUGAUUGCAGGAGGAUCAAGGAAGUGGAUUAAAGCUGCUUCACAACCAAGAAAGUUGAUGAUCCUGAAGGUAAACUCCCCUACUUGGGGUUAUGAGAUGAAGAAAGCAAGAUUUAGUGAACUGCUUUGAGAAAAGUGUAAAGCCAGUCUUAUGUCCUGGUUUCCUGCUAUAUUCCAGUUAUCCCUUGGGAUAACUAUAUUUUAAUACAAUGCCAACUUUCUUUUUAUUAUGAUCCUUGAAAUUUCUUUUAGGCCACCUAAAAUGUCAUGGCUUUUUUUCUUCAUCAAUCAAAACAUUUUUUUUUUUAACUGCAGGAUGUUUAUUCAGUAGAGCUCGUUGUUUUUCUUUCAUUGAUUUUCUUUUUAACAUGCAGUUGUUGAAAACUUAAUUUUCAGUUUAGUCAGCUUUGUUCAAGAUGCAUUGCUGUUCCAAGUAGAAUUUGUGGUAUGUUUUCUGCAGUCCAGUCUAAGGGACAUACGGCAUGAUGGAUGAUGUUUGGAAUGAAAAGCUGAAUGAAUACAGGCAUUACUAGAGCUGCCUUCUUGAUCUGAAAAGAGAAAUCCCUUUCUUUGUUACUCCUUGAUAAGAAAAUUUACAGCAAUAUGUUGUUGGAAAUA
This is a non-coding RNA of Phalacrocorax carbo (great cormorant), 5241 nucleotides long. NCBI's taxonomy places the organism in Eukaryota, Metazoa, Chordata, Aves, Suliformes, Phalacrocoracidae. The record is from RefSeq and is a predicted model, not a curated record.